AGUAACGGCGAGUGAAGCGGCAACAGCUCAAAUUUGAAAUCUGGCUCUUUCAGAGUCCGAGUUGUAAUUUGCAGAGGGCGCUUUGGCUUUGGCAGCGGUCCAAGUUCCUUGGAACAGGACGUCACAGAGGGUGAGAAUCCCGUACGUGGUCGCUAGCUAUUGCCGUGUAAAGCCCCUUCGACGAGUCGAGUUGUUUGGGAAUGCAGCUCUAAAUGGGAGGUAAAUUUCUUCUAAAGCUAAAUAUUGGCCAGAGACCGAUAGCGCACAAGUAGAGUGAUCGAAAGAUGAAAAGCACUUUGGAAAGAGAGUCAAACAGCACGUGAAAUUGUUGAAAGGGAAGCGCUUGCAGCCAGACUUGCUUGCAGUUGCUCAUCCGGGCUUUUGCCCGGUGCACUCUUCUGCAGGCAGGCCAGCAUCAGUUUGGGCGGUGGGAUAAAGGUCUCUGUCAUGUACCUCUCUUCGGGGAGGCCUUAUAGGGGAGGCGACAUACCACCAGCCUAGACUGAGGUCCGCGCAUCUGCUAGGAUGCUGGCGUAAUGGCUGUAAGCGGCCCGUCUUGAAACACGGACCAAGGAGUCUAACAUCUAUGCGAGUGUUUGGGUGUCAAGCCCGAGCGCGUAAUGAAAGUGAACGGAGGUGGGAACCCGCAAGGGUGCACCAUCGACCGAUCCUGAAGUUUACGGAAGGAUUUGAGUAAGAGCAUGGCUGUUGGGACCCGAAAGAUGGUGAACUAUGCUUGAAUAGGGUGAAGCCAGAGGAAACUCUGGUGGAGGCUCGCAGCGGUUCUGACGUGCAAAUCGAUCGUCAAA
This 809-nucleotide ribosomal RNA is filed under the name Exserohilum fusiforme. RNAcentral describes it as "LSU rRNA". It matches the Rfam family "Eukaryotic large subunit ribosomal RNA", at positions 82 to 909 of the family's 3401-position model. Lineage: Eukaryota; Fungi; Ascomycota; Dothideomycetes; Pleosporales; Pleosporaceae. The record is from RNAcentral.